RNAcentral lists this long non-coding RNA (1269 nucleotides) under Phasianus colchicus (ring-necked pheasant). RNAcentral's name for it is "lncRNA (ENSPCLG00000021930.1)". Lineage: Eukaryota; Metazoa; Chordata; Aves; Galliformes; Phasianidae. The record is from RNAcentral.
CAAAAAAGUAAACAAACAAAACUGGUAAGAAAGUGUAGAGGCUAGAAAAGCAACUUCAGCUGUGUCAGAAGUAGCACACUGAAGAAGUCCUUCAGAAUGAGCAGCUGGGCAGCGACCAUGACUAGGUGGGGGAGCUGCAGCUGAUGCUAAUUAUUAGUAAUGGUGUCAGCUGCAAAACAGAAUAGAGAUUGGAAGCUUGGUGGGGAGUAAGUUUUACACCUGAAAUAGCUGGAAGGGAGAGGCAGAGGAACAGUUGAACUUUUUUUGUGCUUACAGUAAGCUAUCAGAACAAAAAGAAAGGCAGGAGGUGUAAGGUAAGCUAUUGUAACUAGGCUUCUAUAAAAAGGAAAAAAGCUGAUGGAAUUACUGGCUGUGGCAGUAAAAGCUGUUGUGUGAUAUCUAAGGGAGUAUAUUAAGAAGAGCUUUACUUCCAACCGCAGGACACUGGAAACAAUAUUGGAGGGACAAGUGCCCUCUUUCCCCUGUCAUUUCCAUCUGCUCUUGCCACGAGAGCUGUGGUGAAUGGACUAACCAGGGGAAAAAGGUAGACACUUUGUUGACCUCAGCCUUAAAACAGCUUCUGGUGGUGAGGCUUCUGCAAUGGCAGGAAGAUGAAACUAAGAAAAAACAUGAUUGUUGGAGGAAAAAAAUGAGACUAAAACAACACAGUCUUCCUUCUGGUUGGGUAUAAUUUGAACAGAACACUUCACGUCAACUCCUUGGUUGUCUUGUUAUUAGGACUGGACUCUAAGCAGACAGUUAAGAGUGUGGUGAGGCUUCCUUUUAUCCUUUGCAUGAUUUUUUUUUCUGAGGGAGGUAACGUGAUUCAUUGGAUUUUGUAAUUUCAGUGUGCAUCACAGCUUUAAGGGGAAGUGGGGGGGGCUGUAACAUGAAAAGAGUCUUUGCAUAUUUCUAGCUGGAAAAUUCUUAAUACUGCUUAAUUUUUUUUCCUCUACAUCAAAUCUUAACAUGUCCAGAUCUGAAGCACUAUUUAAGUGCUUUUUAUAUUGUUGUUAAACCACCUUGAAAGUAGAUUUUUUUUUUUUUUUUGGCUGCUGCACUGCAAUUAAGAGAAACUAAGUGUGAGCAACGCCAUAAGAUCAGCUAUCAUAAAUGAAUUUUGACAUAGAGCACUACAAAUUGCAUUGUGUAUUUCCAUACUGUUGGUUACCACUUCAAUAUUCUGAGCACACAUUUUUGGAAUAUGUUACUAUUUAAACACAUCAUCAUGGUGCAAAGCAUCCUUCGUGCUUGUCUUUGAUGUUACCC